GGAGGGGGGGCAAGCGUUGUUCGGAAUUACUGGGCGUAAAGGGCGCGUAGGCGGUCCCGCAAGUCCUCCGUGAAAUCCCACAGCUCAACUGUGGAACUGCGAGGGAAACUGCAGGACUUGAGUCCGGGAGAGGAGAGUGGAAUUCCCAGUGUAGCGGUGAAAUGCGUAGAUAUUGGGAGGAACACCGGUGGCGAAGGCGGCUCUCUGGACCGGUACUGACGCUGAGGCGCGAAAGCUAGGGGAGCAAACGGGAUUAGAUACCCCGGUAGUCCUAGCCUUAAACGAUGAGCACUUGGUGUGGCGGGUAUCGACCCCUGCCGUGCCGAAGCUAACGCAUUAAGUGCUCCGCCUGGGGAGUACGGUCGCAAAGGCUG
This 374-nucleotide ribosomal RNA is filed under the name uncultured organism. RNAcentral describes it as "partial 16S ribosomal RNA". It matches the Rfam family "Bacterial small subunit ribosomal RNA", at positions 525 to 896 of the family's 1533-position model. The record is from RNAcentral.